CACGAACCGUACGAACGUUAUUCGGAAUUACUGGGCUUAAAGGGUUUGUAGGCGGCCAUGUAAGUCAGGUGUGAAAUCCCUCGGCUCAACCGAGGAACGGCGCUUGAUACUGCAUGGCUUGAGGGAGACAGGGGUAAGCGGAACUGAUGGUGGAGCGGUGAAAUGCGUUGAUAUCAUCAGGAACACCGGUGGCGAAAGCGGCUUACUGGGUCUCUUCUGACGCUGAGGCACGAAAGCUAGGGGAGCAAACAGG
RNAcentral lists this ribosomal RNA (253 nucleotides) under uncultured bacterium. RNAcentral describes it as "partial 16S ribosomal RNA". It matches the Rfam family "Bacterial small subunit ribosomal RNA", at positions 524 to 776 of the family's 1533-position model. The record is from RNAcentral.